CAGCAGCCACGGGAAUACGAAGGGUGCAAGCGUUAAUCGGAAUUACUGGGCGUAAAGCGUGCGUAGGCGGUUUGUUAAGUCUGUUGUGAAAUCCCCGGGCUCAACCUGGGAAUGGCAAUGGAUACUGGCAAGCUAGAGUGUGUCAGAGGAUGGUGGAAUUCCCGGUGUAGCGGUGAAAUGCGUAGAGAUCGGGAGGAACAUCAGUGGCGAAGGCGGCCAUCUGGGACAACACUGACGCUGAUGCACGAAAGCUAGGGGAGCAAACAGGAUUAGAUACCCCCGUAGUCCCUGUCUCUUAUAC
RNAcentral lists this ribosomal RNA (301 nucleotides) under uncultured bacterium. Its description in RNAcentral is "partial 16S ribosomal RNA". It matches the Rfam family "Bacterial small subunit ribosomal RNA", at positions 509 to 807 of the family's 1533-position model. The record is from RNAcentral.